UCGAGGAUCUUCGGCAAUGGGCGCAAGCCUGACCGAGCGACGCCGCGUGUGCGAUGAAGGCCUUCGGGUUGUAAAGCACUGUCGAGGGGGAGGAAGGCGCAAGCUUGACCUAUCCCUGGAGGAAGCACGGGCUAAGUUCGUGCCAGCAGCCGCGGUAAGACGAACCGUGCGAACGUUGUUCGGAAUCACUGGGCUUAAAGGGCGCGUAGGCGGGUCGGCAAGUCCGGGGUGAAAGCCCCCAGCUCAACUGGGGAAGUGCCUUGGAAACUGCCGGUCUCGAGGGAGGUAGGGGCCUGUGGAACUUCGGGUGGAGCGGUGAAAUGCGUUGAUAUCCGAAGGAACGCCGGUGGCGAAAGCGACGGGCUGGACCUCUUCUGACGCUGAGGCGCGAAAGCCAGGGGAGCAAACGGGAUUAGAUACCCCCGUAGUCC
This 431-nucleotide ribosomal RNA is filed under the name uncultured bacterium. RNAcentral's name for it is "bacterial SSU rRNA". It matches the Rfam family "Bacterial small subunit ribosomal RNA", at positions 355 to 796 of the family's 1533-position model. The record is from RNAcentral.